CUGGUACCCGGUCAGCGACAGCUGCCGCCUGCACGUGACCGACAGGAGCGGUGCCCGCGCCGGGCAGUUCGAGGAUCUGAGCCAAGUGCCCAAGUACGAGAUGGCCGAGAGUGACUAUGACAAGAGAACAGAGUCCCUGCGCUCCUGGGAACGGGAACAGAACUGGGAAUAGGAACGGGACCGGGAACAGGAACGGGAACAG
Molecule: long non-coding RNA, 202 nt
Organism: Ficedula albicollis (Collared flycatcher)
Lineage: Eukaryota; Metazoa; Chordata; Aves; Passeriformes; Muscicapidae
Exons: 3
Source: RefSeq, a predicted model, not a curated record